GACGAACGCUGGCGGCGUGCUUAACACAUGCAAGUCGAACGGAAAGGCCCUGCUUGCCGGGUACUCGAGUGGCGAACGGGUGAGUAGCACGUGGGUGAUCUGCCCUGCACUUCGGGAUAAGCCUGGGAAACUGGGUCUAAUACCGGAUAGGAGCCAUUUUUAGUGUGAUGGUUGGAAAGUUUUUUCGGUGUAGGAUGAGCUCGCGGCCUAUCAGCUUGUUGGUGGGGUAAUGGCCUACCAAGGCGGCGACGGGUAGCCGGCCUGAGGGGGUGGACGGCCACAUUGGGACUGAGGUACGGCCCAGACGCCUACGGGAGGCAGCAGUGGGGAAUAUUGCACAAUGGGCGCAAGCCGGAUGCAGCGACGCCGCGUGGGGGAUGACGGCCUUCGGGUUGUAAACUCCUUUCGCUAGGGACGAAGCUUUUUGUGACGGUACCUAGAGAAGAAGCACCGGCUAACUACGUG
Molecule: ribosomal RNA, 465 nt
Filed under: uncultured bacterium
Lineage: Bacteria
Description: partial 16S ribosomal RNA
Rfam family: Bacterial small subunit ribosomal RNA
Source: RNAcentral